Molecule: transfer RNA, 82 nt
Filed under: Candidatus Bacteroides intestinipullorum
Lineage: Bacteria; Pseudomonadati; Bacteroidota; Bacteroidia; Bacteroidales; Bacteroidaceae
Description: tRNA-Gly
Source: RNAcentral
CGGCCAGUGUUGCGUAAUGUGAGAACGGCUGUCACAUCCCAUGCAGUUGCACACGAUGCGGGUUCGAUUCCCGCCUGGCCGG